This 495-nucleotide ribosomal RNA is filed under the name eukaryotic picoplankton environmental sample. RNAcentral describes it as "partial 18S ribosomal RNA". The record is from RNAcentral.
CGGCUCUUUAGUUCAUUCUAAUUGCACAAGUAAAACUCGCGCAUUAUUAUUGAUCGUCACUUCCUCGCUCGUUGAGCAUUGGGAAAUUUACGCGCCUGCUGCCUUCCUUAGAUGUGGUAGCCGUCCCUCAGGCUCCCUCUCCGGAAUCGAACCCUGAUUCUCCGUUACCCGUCAAAGACUUGUUAGGCCAAUACCUUAACAACAAUCUGAUAGGGGAAAGACCCGACCGAGUCAUCCUCCGCUAAAAGCAUGAGGAUCCGCAGUUUGUCAUGAUUCAGCACAUAAGUGUUGAUUUGAAGCUAACAAAUGCAGAAGCUCCGUGAGAAGCCUCUUUUGACGCAUGAUUAGCCCUUGAAUUACAACGGUUAUCCAGUUGUACUUUGUCCUCGGGGAGGUUAUGGUUCGUUUAUUGAGCCAUACGCAGAUUCACUGACAACUUGUUUAGUCUUGGACAUGCAUGGCUUAGUCUUUGAUCUAAGAAUAUGAUCACUGGAA